CGUAGGGUGCGAGCGUUGUCCGGAAUUACUGGGCGUAAAGAGCUCGUAGGUGGUUUGUCGCGUUGUCCGUGAAAACUCACAGCUUAACUGUGGGCGUGCGGGCGAUACGGGCAGACUGGAGUACUGCAGGGGAGACUGGAAUUCCUGGUGUAGCGGUGGAAUGCGCAGAUAUCAGGAGGAACACCGGUGGCGAAGGCGGGUCUCUGGGCAGUAACUGACGCUGAGGAGCGAAAGCGUGGGGAGCGAACAGGAUUAGAUACCCUGGUAGUCCACGCCGUAAACGGUGGGUACUAGGUGUGGGUUUCCUUCCUUGGGAUCCGUGCCGUAGCUAACGCAUUAAGUACCCCGCCUGGGGAGUACGGCCGCAAGGCUA
Molecule: ribosomal RNA, 373 nt
Filed under: uncultured organism
Description: bacterial SSU rRNA
Rfam family: Bacterial small subunit ribosomal RNA
Source: RNAcentral